AGUGAAGAACAUGUAGCAUUUAUUAGAUAUGCAAACAAGCCAAGCAAUUAUUAGCUAUCUUAUUGGCACACAUACAGCGAUUCUGAGUGCACCAUGAAAACAAGCAUGUACAUCACAAAUACUGUACAUUGGUCCGAUGCCAUCUCUAGCUGGCACUCAGAAAUACAAUAGCGAAAACAAUGUGUAUCAUACUCCCAUCACGAUUAUUCAUUCUGUCAUUCAUUGUUCCAUCUGACAGAAAGUUCUGACCUUCGCCUUCGACUCCCAUCACGACUCAGUCUGACUGCUGUCUUAGCUGACCAGACCAACAGUUGUGCCAUCCCACCUGGGAUAAGAAGAAAGCUCAGAAAUCUAAAGUAGAGUUGCACCAAUACGUGAGCAAAAGAGAGAAAGGGGUUACCCACCUGUACAAGCGCAGAGAAUGUUGUCGCAACGUCGAUGAGUUAUGCAGUCUAUGUCUCUGUUUUAUCAGCUCUUCGACGAUUUCACUUGCUCUCUCCAUAGAAAC
This 508-nucleotide long non-coding RNA is filed under the name Triticum aestivum (bread wheat). RNAcentral describes it as "long non-coding RNA (TAES_LNC000799)". Lineage: Eukaryota; Viridiplantae; Streptophyta; Magnoliopsida; Poales; Poaceae. The record is from RNAcentral.